Molecule: transfer RNA, 78 nt
Filed under: Dehalococcoidia bacterium
Lineage: Bacteria; Bacillati; Chloroflexota; Dehalococcoidia
Description: tRNA-Met
Rfam family: tRNA (bases 7-69)
About the family: Transfer RNA (tRNA) molecules are approximately 80 nucleotides in length.
Source: RNAcentral
CGAACCGUGGUCUGGCGAAGCCCCCGACGCACGACUCAUAAUCGUGAGGUCGGGAGUUCAAGUCUCCCCCUUCUACCA